Molecule: ribosomal RNA, 454 nt
Filed under: uncultured Erwinia sp.
Lineage: Bacteria; Pseudomonadati; Pseudomonadota; Gammaproteobacteria; Enterobacterales; Erwiniaceae
Description: bacterial SSU rRNA
Rfam family: Bacterial small subunit ribosomal RNA
Source: RNAcentral
UCGUGUUGUGAAAUGUUGGGUUAAGUCCCACAACGAGCGCAACCCUUAUCCUUUGUUGCCAGCGAUACGGUCGGGAACUCAAAGGAGACUGCCGGUGAUAAACCGGAGGAAGGUGGGGAUGACGUCAAGUCAUCAUGGCCCUUACGGCCAGGGCUACACACGUGCUACAAUGGCGCAUACAAAGAGAAGCGACCUCGCGAGAGCAAGCGGACCUCAUAAAUGCGUCGUAGUCCGGAUCGGAGUCUGCAACUCGACUCCGUGAAGUCGGAAUCGCUAGUAAUCGUAGAUCAGAAUGCUACGGUGAAUACGUUCCCGGGCCUUGUACACACCGCCCGUCACACCAUGGGAGUGGGUUGCAAAAGAAGUAGGUAGCUUAACCUUCGGGAGGGCGCUUACCACUUUGUGAUUCAUGACUGGGGUGAAGUCGUAACAAGGUAACCAAGGGCGAAUUCUG